GUGAAUCAUCAAAUCUUUGAACGCAAAUUGCACUCCCUGGUAUUCCGGGGAGUAUGCCUGUUUGAGGGUCGUAAGAAUAAAAAAUCGAGGCGUCGCUCUUUUUUUUAAGGUUGAUCGCGUCGGAAUUGAGCCGUCUUUAAAUUGUUAAUUCUUGUAAAAUUGGCUUGAAAUUCAUCCAUCCGUUACG
RNAcentral lists this unclassified non-coding RNA (187 nucleotides) under Glomeraceae sp. RNAcentral's name for it is "partial contains 5.8S ribosomal RNA and internal transcribed spacer 2". The stretch from base 1 to 71 matches the Rfam family "5.8S ribosomal RNA", at positions 84 to 154 of the family's 154-position model. Lineage: Eukaryota; Fungi; Glomeromycota; Glomeromycetes; Glomerales; Glomeraceae. The record is from RNAcentral.